Molecule: ribosomal RNA, 274 nt
Filed under: uncultured bacterium
Lineage: Bacteria
Description: partial 16S ribosomal RNA
Rfam family: Bacterial small subunit ribosomal RNA
Source: RNAcentral
AUACGAAAGGUGCAAGCGUUGUUCGGAUUUACUGGGCGUAAAGAGAGUGUAGGUUGUUUAUUAAGUCGGAUGUGAAAUCCCGGGGCUCAACCCCGGAACUGCAUUCGAUACUGAUAGGCUAGAGUUCGGGAGGGGUAGGCGGAAUUCCGUGUGUAGCAGUGAAAUGCGUAGAUAUACGGAGGAACACCUGAGGCGAAGGCGGCUUACUGGACCGAUACUGACACUGAGACUCGAAAGCGUGGGUAGCAAACAGGAUUAGAAACCCCAGUAGUCC